CACGAGUUAGAAGAAUAGCUCACGUUACCAGCUUAUGGCUUAACCUUAACCAGAACCCAAGUGAGCAAAUCAAAGAUAGGCUAUCUGGACAUUGAAAUCAAUGUCAGUAACAGCAUUCUAACAACAGCUGUUUACAGAAAGCUGCAAUAUCAACCUGUAAUCGUACCGGACUGGUCCCCCGAUCCGCCCUCGUUUAAAAAAAGCGGCAUUUAGGGCCUUUUUUAAAAGAGCUUAUAGAUACUGCACAGUGGAAGAGAAGCUAGAGGAGGAACUUGAAUAUAUUUACAAAGUAGGAAAGAAACAUGGUUAUCGAACAGGUUUCUUGAAGACCGUAGAGAAGAAGAUAAAACAACCUAAACCACAACCCAAGAUCAGCAGCUGGGAAGAGUGACCAGAGAACCAAAGACCAGUGUUGCAUCCCAGUCCCAUGCCAAUUGAUAACUAAGAUGAGCACUGUGAAAAGCAUUUUUAAAAAACAGGUAGGAAGCUGGCAAGGUGCAGAGUGACCAUGAUAUUUAAUAGUAUGAGAAACGAGAAGCACAUGAGAGAUGCAAACAGAAGAUCAGUGUACAAAGUUCUGGUGGAAGUAGUGGAAACAGGAGUGUGUUUGUCGUACAUAGGGGUUAUGAACAUGAUGCUUAAACAGAGGCUAGACAAGCACAAAAGGGAUAUAGCGAAAGGCAACAUUGACAUAGUAUUAGCUGCAGAAGCCUUUAGUAAUGACAUCACCAUACACUGGGAUAAGGCUAAGGUAAUAAAACCAGUACUAAGAAAAUCAUAAGCUUUGAUGAUGGAAGCGCUGGAGAUUAUGAAAGAGGACAAGAAAGGCAAGACACUUAAUGAAUGCACCGCAGUCACUGUACCAGCAGCAUGGAGAUAUCUUCUUGAAAGACAUAAAACUUAAAAAUGCGUUUGUGCUACAGUAUUUGUUUAUUUGAGAUGAAUGGCUGCACGAGGCUCUGCCCAGCACCUUUGUUCUUAUUUUUAUUUUUGUCUUAUUCUAUUAAGGUCUUAUUAUAUGUAAAGUGCUUUCAUUCUUGUAUGUGCACUAUGAUUGUACAGCAGCUUGCAGCGCUUUCCAAAGAAACGUGCACCUACAAAAAUUUAUCUUUUAUUUUUUUAUUUUUAUUUCUUAUUCUUAUUGUUCAUGUUCUUUUUUAAUUUUAUAUUCAUAUGUUCUAGAAUCCUUAACCAUUUUUUGUUUAUGUUUAAAACCUGAUGAUGGC
RNAcentral lists this long non-coding RNA (1226 nucleotides) under Androctonus crassicauda. Lineage: Eukaryota; Metazoa; Arthropoda; Arachnida; Scorpiones; Buthidae. The record is from RNAcentral.